This 24-nucleotide non-coding RNA is filed under the name Cricetulus griseus (Chinese hamster). Lineage: Eukaryota; Metazoa; Chordata; Mammalia; Rodentia; Cricetidae. The record is from RNAcentral.
UCCAAGGGAUGUUCAAUGAUGGAG